Long non-coding RNA from Fukomys damarensis (Damara mole-rat), 1287 nucleotides. The record is from Ensembl. Lineage: Eukaryota; Metazoa; Chordata; Mammalia; Rodentia; Bathyergidae.
CUCGUCCAAGGCAUUUGAACCUAAGUUUCAAGAGUCAUUUUGCUGAAUAAAGACUGGAAUGUACUCUCUGAUAUGUGUUUGGCAGGUAAGACAACCUGAUUUUUCUCCUGUGGAGAGCUGACUUCCUUUAAAUUUCUACUUCUAAUUGUUUUAACUACUGAGUUUCCCUCCUAGGUAUCUGGUGCUAUGUGGCUGGUCGUAACAUUGGCAGCAGCAACAGUGGCAAUAACAACAAAGAAUAUGCCAGUGUGUACGGUAUGCCAGGGCUGGACUUGGAGUUUCUACUUUUGUUUCAAAAAGAAAAUGCAAUAUUUGAAGGGAAUACUCAGUAACAAACAGGUGCACUGUGGCUGCUAUUCCCCAAACCCUCCAAAUCAUUUAACAGAUUUGCCUUGUGGCAUUUUUUUUUUUGUGGGGUUUUUGUGCAGACACAUGAGAGAGAAUCUCCAAUGGACUCCAUCAUAAAGGACCCCAAGAGGGGACACACAUCAACUUCAGCAUAAAAGAGAAACAAAAUGACCCUUAAGGAAGGCUGAAGAAACCAUCACCAUUUCAGUAGGCUGAAAUCACCGUCCAAUCUGUUCUCUCAGCUCCCCUUUGCCUACCACAUCCAAUUCCACAGCAAACUAAUUCACUUCCUGGAAGGGCUUUUAUGACCUAGAGCUGAGAAGACCUCUAAAACAAGUCUUCCAUUCCUCCGUCAAGCCUGGUUCAGCUUCCCCACCCACAGUGCCCUUUCUAGUUUUUCCUUAACUUGAAAUGUCUGACGCUUGUAUUUUCCUUUCUUACUGUUAUCCCAUUACUUCUAGUUUCAACCCCUUCUGUCAUGCCAACUAAUUCCUCUCUGUCCUUUGUAGACAAUUAUAUCAUCUUUAGUCCUUCCUUGGAUUUUAUUUUCCAUCCACAUAAGUCACCCCCGUGGCCAUUCUGUAAUUCUUUUUGCCUUGCUCUGAACUCUGCACCAUCUAGCUCUCUCACUGUGGGUCUCCAAAGCCCAAAUGGCCCCUCCUGAUUUGGGGCUUAACCUGGACUGAGAAAGGAAGCAGCAUUCUCUCUCUUUAUUAAUAGGGGCUAUUUUGCCAGAACUUUCAAAUGGCAUUUUGUGAAUUAACUUUGGCUCUGUGAGGUUGCCAUAGAAAUAAUUCUUAGUUAUUUGUAAGUUUUCACCUGUGCCUGGCAUCAUACUACUCUCUAAAUCACUACUGUCUAAUAAAAAUCAAAUGUAAACUACACAUGUAAUAUUAAAUUUUCUAGUAACCACAUUAAAGAAGCAGAAAGACACAGGGA